GAAUAUUGGACAAUGGGCGAAAGCCUGAUCCAGCAAUGCCGCGUGCAGGAUGAAGGCCUUCGGGUUGUAAACUGCUUUUGUACGGAACGACAAGCAUUGGGGUAAUACUCUGGAGUCCUGACGGUACCGUAAGAAUAAGACCCGGCUAACCACUUGCCAGCCGCCGCGGUAACACGAAGGGUGCCAGCGUUAAUCGGAAUUACUGGGGGUAAAGCGUGCGCAGGCGGUUUUGUAAGACAGAGGUGAGAUCCCCGGGCUCAACCUGGGAACUGCCUUUGUGACUGCAAGGCUAGAGUACGGCGGAGGGGGGUGGAAUUCGGCGUGUAGCAGUGAAAUGAGUAGAUAUGCGGAGGAACACCGAUGGCGAAGGCAACCCCCUGGGCCUGUACUGACGCUCAUGCACGAAAGCGUGGGGAGCAAACA
RNAcentral lists this ribosomal RNA (423 nucleotides) under uncultured bacterium. RNAcentral's name for it is "partial 16S ribosomal RNA". It matches the Rfam family "Bacterial small subunit ribosomal RNA", at positions 359 to 774 of the family's 1533-position model. The record is from RNAcentral.